Molecule: ribosomal RNA, 669 nt
Filed under: uncultured bacterium
Lineage: Bacteria
Description: bacterial SSU rRNA
Rfam family: Bacterial small subunit ribosomal RNA
Source: RNAcentral
AGUGGCAGACGGGUGAGUAACGCGUGAACAUGUGCCUUUUUUCUGGGGAUACCGUUUGGAAACGAACGUUAAUACCGAAUGUGGCGGCAUCGUUAAACUGUUAGGGAGAAAAGAGCAGUUCGCGUUCUAUCAGCUAGAUGGUGGGGUAACGGCCUACCAUGGCUACGACGGAUAGCUGGUCUGAGAGGAUGAUCAGCCACACUGGAACUGAGACACGGUCCAGACUCCCACGGGAGGCAGCAGUGAGGAAUCUUGCACAAUGGGCGAAAGCCUGAUGCAGCGACGCCGCGUGAGGGACGACGGCCUUCGGGUUGUAAACCUCUGUCAGUAGGGAAGAAGAUUGACGGUACCUACUGAGGAAGCUUCGGCUAACUACGUGCCAGCAGCCGCGGUAAGACGUAGGGAGCAAGCGUUGCCCGGAAUUACUGGGCGUAAAGAGCUCGUAGGCGGGGGCGUGCGUCUGAGAGGAAAUCUCAAGGCUUAACCUUGGGGCUGUCUCAGAUACGGCGCUUCUUGAGGAUGUGAGAGGAAAGUGGAAUUUCCGGUGUAGCGGUGAAAUGCGUAGAUAUCGGAAGGAACACCAGUGGCGACGCGACUUUCUGGCACAUUCCUGACGCUGAAGAGCGAAGCGUGGUAGCGACGGAUAGAUACCCCGGUAGUCAACGUCGA